Molecule: non-coding RNA, 266 nt
Organism: Arachis ipaensis
Lineage: Eukaryota; Viridiplantae; Streptophyta; Magnoliopsida; Fabales; Fabaceae
Source: RefSeq, a predicted model, not a curated record
UGUGGUCAUGCAGAUGAAGUUGAAAGCCUUGCUGCAGCGAGGAAAGCUGCUAUAUCCAGUUCAGAACCUUCAGAUUCUAUUCGGGUUGUAAAUGCAUUACUAACUCAGAUUGACAAGUUAAUAUCAUCUCCAAAUGUGAUAAUCCUAAUCACAUCCAACAUAACUACUGCUAUUGGAAAAUUAUUAUGAAGUAGAAAAAGAACUUAAUCACACAAAUUGUGAAGAUAAAAAAUUAGAGAGUAAAAAUCACCAAUUUGUGAAGAUGA